CCUACGGGAGGCAGCAGUAGGGAAUCUUCCGCAAUGGGCGAAAGCCUGACGGAGCAACGCCGCGUGGGUGAUGAAGGCCUUCGGGUCGUAAAGCCCUGUCGGAGGG
RNAcentral lists this ribosomal RNA (106 nucleotides) under uncultured Carboxydocella sp. RNAcentral's name for it is "partial 16S ribosomal RNA". It matches the Rfam family "Bacterial small subunit ribosomal RNA", at positions 338 to 443 of the family's 1533-position model. The record is from RNAcentral. Lineage: Bacteria; Bacillati; Bacillota; Clostridia; Eubacteriales; Clostridiales Family XVI. Incertae Sedis.